AGCGAACGCUGGCGGCAGGCUUAACACAUGCAAGUCGAACGGGCAUCUUCGGAUGUCAGUGGCAGACGGGAGAGUAACACGUGGGAACGUACCCUUCGGUUCGGAAUAACUCAGGGAAACUUGAGCUAAUACCGGAUACGCCCUUUUGGGGAAAGGUUUACUGCCGAAGGAUCGGCCCGCGUCUGAUUAGCUUGUUGGUGGGGUAACGGCCUACCAAGGCGACGAUCAGUAGCUGGUCUGAGAGGAUGAUCAGCCACACUGGGACUGAGACACGGCCCAGACUCCUACGGGAGGCAGCAGUGGGGAAUAUUGGACAAUGGGCGCAAGCCUGAUCCAGCCACGCCGCGUGAGUGAUGAAGGCCUUAGGGUUGUAAAGCUCUUUUGUCCGGGACGAUAAUGACGGUACCGGAAGAAUAAGCCCCGGCUAACUUCGUG
RNAcentral lists this ribosomal RNA (435 nucleotides) under uncultured bacterium. RNAcentral describes it as "partial 16S ribosomal RNA". It matches the Rfam family "Bacterial small subunit ribosomal RNA", at positions 29 to 507 of the family's 1533-position model. The record is from RNAcentral.